UGUGAACCGAGGGCAGUGAGCAGAUGGGCCUCCGGGUGUCAGGUUUCCAGUCUAGGCUCCCCCCGCCCCCGAUGUAGUCAAAGGGGGCUACAGCCUGAGGAAAGUGGGCAGUCCCAGAAGAGACCAAGCAUGCCAGGAGAGGGGCCAACAGGGUCUACUGAUUGGUUAUUUGAAAGCCUCCCAAGAACCUGUCUGUUUGCAAUGGUUUUGCCUGGAAAAAAAAAAAGUUGCUGAUUGAGCUCUGCUUUACAGAAGGCUGAGAAGAGCCUCUUCCU
This is a long non-coding RNA of Mus caroli (Ryukyu mouse), 275 nucleotides long. RefSeq lists it as uncharacterized. Lineage: Eukaryota; Metazoa; Chordata; Mammalia; Rodentia; Muridae. The record is from RefSeq and is a predicted model, not a curated record.